UGGGGAAUUUUGGACAAUGGGGGCAACCCUGAUCCAGCAAUGCCGCGUGAGUGAAGAAGGCCUUCGGGUUGUAAAGCUCUUUUGUCAGGGAAGAAACGGUAGUAGCGAAUAACUACUACUAAUGACGGUACCUGAAGAAUAAGCACCGGCUAACUACGUGCCAGCAGCCGCGGUAAUACGUAGGGUGCAAGCGUUAAUCGGAAUUACUGGGCGUAAAGCGUGCGCAGGCGGUUGUGUAAGUCAGAUGUGAAAUCCCCGGGCUCAACCUGGGAAUUGCAUUUGAGACUGCACGGCUAGAGUGUGUCAGAGGGGGGUAGAAUUCCACGUGUAGCAGUGAAAUGCGUAGAUAUGUGGAGGAAUACCGAUGGCGAAGGCAGCCCCCUGGGAUAACACUGACGCUCAUGCACGAAAGCGUGGGGAGCAAACAGGAUUAGAUACCCCCGUAGUCCCUGAGCGGGCUGGCAAGGCGCAU
This 472-nucleotide ribosomal RNA is filed under the name uncultured bacterium. Its description in RNAcentral is "bacterial SSU rRNA". It matches the Rfam family "Bacterial small subunit ribosomal RNA", at positions 355 to 825 of the family's 1533-position model. The record is from RNAcentral.